CCCACACCGUCCCUUGCAAGGUGACAGGCC
RNAcentral lists this non-coding RNA (30 nucleotides) under Homo sapiens (human). The record is from RNAcentral. Lineage: Eukaryota; Metazoa; Chordata; Mammalia; Primates; Hominidae.